This 411-nucleotide long non-coding RNA is filed under the name Meriones unguiculatus (Mongolian gerbil). RNAcentral's name for it is "lncRNA (ENSMUGG00000018605.1)". The record is from RNAcentral. Lineage: Eukaryota; Metazoa; Chordata; Mammalia; Rodentia; Muridae.
UGAGACUGGAACCACAGCCACUCGGUGACUGAGUAACAAGGGGUCAGGAUAUACUGAAAACAACUCAAGAUAAAUCCAGGGAGGCAGGAAACCAUAAAGUCACCAAGACCACAUUCAGGCAAGAAAUACAAAGACAGCACAAGUACCAAUGGUUGAUAUAUUUAUUGGUUGUAUGAUGCAUUUGAAGCCGUCUCAAUACUGUCAGUUCUGAGCCUGCACAUUUGUUUGGACGCCUUCCUCCCAACCUCAGACUGCUUUUCACGGAUACAAUGAAAGGACAGAAAGUUUUACAGCUUCAACCUUCACCUGUCUUUGCAUAACAGCAUAUUUUCAUCAGAAAUUUGUAAGUAUCUUUUUAUUUUUCUGUACUUAAGUAAUUAGAGACUGAUCGGGGGAAUAAAUAGCUCCUCU